Molecule: unclassified non-coding RNA, 544 nt
Filed under: Hevea brasiliensis (rubber tree)
Lineage: Eukaryota; Viridiplantae; Streptophyta; Magnoliopsida; Malpighiales; Euphorbiaceae
Source: RNAcentral
AAUUGCUUCAUCAAGGUCAAAUGGUCUGUUUGUUGCAGCAAGAACAAGGAUGCGUUCACCCUGCUUCGUCAUAAGGCCAUCCCAAUGCGUCAUGAACUCAUUCUUUAUCUUUCGCAUGGCUUCAUGCUCCCCAACUCUAGUCCGCUGCCCAAGCAUGCUAUCUACCUCAUCCACAAAAAUAAUAGUUGGGGAAACUUUGGCUGCCAGUGUAAAUAAAGCUCGAACAUUUUUCUCAUCUUCGCCAAACCAUUUUGAAGUGAUUGUAGACAUGGAUACAUUAAUGAAGCUUGCUCCAGCCUCUUUGGCAAUGGCCUUGGCCAUCAUUGUCUUUCCCGUGCCAGGAGGCCCAAAGAGCAAGAUUCCCCUGCAAGGCUUUAGAAGUCCUCCUUUGAAUAGAUCUGGUCUUCGAAGAGGAAGCAUCACCAAUUCCUGAAGGGAUUCUUUGGUCUCUUCCAAUGCACCAAUAUCAGAAAAUGAUACAUUAAUCUCAUUUGCGGGAAUGACCUCAGGCCUUAUGCGCUUCUCAAAUUCAUUGUCAGGAGGA